RNAcentral lists this long non-coding RNA (210 nucleotides) under Elaeis guineensis (African oil palm). RNAcentral describes it as "long non-coding RNA (EGUI_LNC066722)". Lineage: Eukaryota; Viridiplantae; Streptophyta; Magnoliopsida; Arecales; Arecaceae. The record is from RNAcentral.
GCCAAAAGAACUAUCUAUAUAUUUCAUGUUAUUUAGUUCUGGAUCUCUUAGACCCAAUGACAUUCACUAUUUGCUCAAAUAAUUUUUACAAAUACAUCACCAUGCAAAUGAUAAAGAAUUAAAUUUAAAUGGUAAUCAUCGAGAUUAGGUGCCCAUGUCGAGUACAACUUUUACACCAUUGCUGACUCAAAACAGUCACAACACCUUCCC